RNAcentral lists this unclassified non-coding RNA (203 nucleotides) under uncultured fungus. Its description in RNAcentral is "sequence contains ITS1". The record is from RNAcentral. Lineage: Eukaryota; Fungi.
GUACAUAAGUGCUUGCGCACGACAAUAAUUUCAUUACAUUCGAGUGGGUGUAAAAAUCCUCUGCCAGCCGAAGCUAGCAAGAGGCCAAAGGUUCACAGGGGUAUUGGAUGAAAGCCACCGCCGUGCACUUGCCAGUUCUGGCCAGCACAGACGGCAACCAUUCGUAAUCAUUAAUGAUCCUUCCGCAGGUUCACCUACGGAAA